UCCGAAUUGGUGUAGUGGCUAACAUUUGACGCUCUCAUUACUCUCCAAUGAUCCGUCAAGCCCGGGGUUCGAUUCCCCGAUUCGGAG
RNAcentral lists this transfer RNA (87 nucleotides) under Daldinia sp. FL1419. RNAcentral's name for it is "tRNA-Glu". The record is from RNAcentral. Lineage: Eukaryota; Fungi; Ascomycota; Sordariomycetes; Xylariales; Hypoxylaceae.